GUGGAGGAUGUAAUUAUGCCGGUAGUUAUUUUUCUUUUGAGAGAUGGAAAGGUUUGUACAUUUAUCAGGGUGAAAUGCCAUAAGCCAAUCUGACUCCCAUCGAGCUGCUGAGUCAAGGUCGAGUUGUAGCUUAUGACAAUCAUCUUGUGUUUUUAUUUCCCUGUAAAUUAUGCUGUCAUCAGCAAAGAGUCUAAGUUUACUGUGUUCUAGAUAUUCCGGUAAGUCAUUU
RNAcentral lists this long non-coding RNA (229 nucleotides) under Mytilus galloprovincialis (Mediterranean mussel). Lineage: Eukaryota; Metazoa; Mollusca; Bivalvia; Mytilida; Mytilidae. The record is from RNAcentral.